UACGAAGGGGGCUAGCGUUGCUCGGAAUCACUGGGCGUAAAGCGCACGUAGGCGGCUUUUUAAGUCAGGGGUGAAAUCCUGGAGCUCAACUCCAGAACUGCCUUUGAUACUGGAAAGCUUGAGUUCGGGAGAGGUGAGUGGAACUGCGAGUGUAGAGGUGAAAUUCGUAGAUAUUCGCAAGAACACCAGUGGCGAAGGCGGCUCACUGGCCCGAUACUGACGCUGAGGUGCGAAAGCGUGGGGAGCAAACAGG
This 253-nucleotide ribosomal RNA is filed under the name uncultured bacterium. Its description in RNAcentral is "partial 16S ribosomal RNA". It matches the Rfam family "Bacterial small subunit ribosomal RNA", at positions 524 to 776 of the family's 1533-position model. The record is from RNAcentral.